Long non-coding RNA from Phyllostomus discolor (pale spear-nosed bat), 1164 nucleotides. RefSeq lists it as uncharacterized. The transcript is spliced from 2 exons. Lineage: Eukaryota; Metazoa; Chordata; Mammalia; Chiroptera; Phyllostomidae. The record is from RefSeq and is a predicted model, not a curated record.
GCUCGCGCCGCCGGGGGCGGGGGGGGGGGGGGUGCGUGGGGGAGGGGGCGGCUGCGGCGCCGCGCGGCCAGCCCGGUCCGAGGCUCCACGGCCGCUCGCGCUCGCUAGCUCGCUCCCUCUCCCGCUCCUUGGCUCGCUGGCUCUCGCGUCCCACGGCCCCCCCCCCCGCGCCCCCCCUCCGUCCCCGCUCAGCGCAUUACUGGGUAACGCAGUGAGAAGCAGUUACAGUCUGUCCUCCCGGGCAGCUAUAGGCUGCCACAGGAUGUGCUUAAGCAAACAAAACUACUUUUCCUCAUCCCCAUCCCCCAACUCCCGCCGCAGACCUUCGCGGACCUCGGGGGAGGACUUGGGCAACUUUGCCAGGUGGCCCGGUACCCCCAGGUUCGCGGCGUGGACAAGGAGAGAACCUGGGACAAGGCCCGCGGGACGAUUUGCAUGUAUGCAAAUUUUUUAAAAUCGGACCUCCUAGGAAAAAAAAUUGUUAAAGGGAUGCCCCCUCGGAAGGAGAGACAUUCUGGUCCACCACCGCCUGCCCAGAACUGGACACAGUCUAUCAUCGCCGUCCCUGGGCCUGGGACACCUCUGGAAGGGUGCCUUUUAAGAAUCCCCUUUUUUUCCCUCCCCCAGGUAAUAGUUCUUAAAAUGGAAAAGAGCUUCCUGCAAUUAUUUUAGGUUUGCUAAAGUAUUGUUUUGGCAGAAAAGGGGGGUGGUUUUUAGGGUUUGGCCAGUUGCCAAUAAGCCUGCUUUUCCAGUUUUUUUUUUUUUUAAACCUCGUAUUUUCUCUCUAGGCUCUCCUCCCUGCUUGGGGGGGGGGGGGCGUGUGGACUAUACCUCCUUCAUCCAAACCCCCAUCCCAUCUCUUCCCCUCAUCUCCCGCACUCUAGUUUGCAGCCUGCUGCAAAUCCUCAAAAUUCCAAAAGGAAAGACGAGUGUAUCAUGUUGAAAGACACUGGCACACAGACAGGGUAACAUACACCUUGGUAGAGGUUACAUAGCUUAGACAGCCUCUGAAAAGAGGGAAUUCCUGUAGUAAUGCCCACUCUGCAGGUGAGGGUCAGGUGAGGUGUUAAAGGUCACACUCAUUCAGAAACAUACCCUUCUUUUUUAAAUAAGGGGAGACAAAUAUGGUACUGGGGAAAGCAAAAUAAAAUCCCCUGAAAUAUU